GAAUGUGCAGAAGCAAGGAAGAAAAAUGGAGGACAUUUGUUUCAUCAAACUUACCUUUAUUGGAAGGUAAUAUGCUUUAUUUAAUAUCAAUCCUUGUAGUAGAGUACUUAGAUUACCAAUAUAGGUGGAAAUUUAGGACAUUGAGCCGGAAUUUAAUGCGAUAUUUCGACAUAAAGUUUGUGCUUUUGCUUUGCACGUGUUGGCUUAAAAUAUUAUGGGCGAUUGUCAAACUUUAAUAAACUGUGUUUUAAUUCAAAAUUAUUGUCGACCAAGUGAGUAAAAAGACUAACUAAGAUCUAGGAUUGUUUAAGUUGUCGAAAAAAGUUGUUAUCUCUGAGUUUUUGCCGAAAAUGUUUAUAUAAAUGCCGUAUACAGAGACGAGGUGCUUGGUGGGACGAAUAUAAUUUCAUCAGCUUGUACAUUUCAAUCUUGCGAUCAUUAAUAUGCAGAAAAAGCCUUGCUUUAGCAACAUUACAACGUAUUUGAUUCUUGCUUGCAAAACAAAGUUAAUUAGUUACAAAUAAAACUAUUUUUAAGUGAAAAUUGCUACAAUAUAAAGGCAAAAUCCAGAAUAAUUGUGUUUCUUGACGUCACUGCAGGCAGGUGCGGUCAUAGGUAGCUGGCGCUUCUCUGUAAGCGUGCUAAUAAGAUUAAGUUACUAAUGAGAACGAGGCUCCAAGACCAAGGCGUAUAUGUGACGUGAUUAUGAAAGGGGUAUUUGUCGGCAUUUUUCUGAUAAAUUUUGAAUAUUACAAAAAAUAUGCGGUUCAGGUUUCAUAUCCUGAAGAAAGUAGGAUAGGUAGGUCGAAUAAAACAAAUUUUCUUCAAAUAUUCCUUGGCUUGACAUUGGUCAGCAAUUGCCGUGAUCAGUUUGCAUAUUGCCACAACAUAUAAACAUUUCAAGAAGCAAGAUUAACUGUGGGCAACAGACAGUAUUUUUGGCAUCUAGUUUCGUCAUAAAGCAAACAACAAAAAUAGGACAUUACAAAAAAUAAUAAAAUAUGCGGUUCAGGUUUCAUAUUCUGACGAGCACAAAUUUUCUUCAAUAUUUUUCAAAUGGCUUGACAUUGGUCAGCAAUUACGGCAAUGCCAACUGAUCACAGCAAUUGCUGACCAAUGUCAAUUAGCCAAAAAAUAUUGAAGAAAAUUUGUGCUCUUCAGAAUAUGAAACCUGAACCGCAUAUUUUAUUAUUUUAUGGCUUGUUUCCCAACCAUAUCUAGAAAAAAAAAAGAGGAAAGAAAAUAGUGUUGACUGGAAAACGGAACCACAGGAUAUUGUUUUGUUUCAGACUCUGAUGUUUCAUCUCGCUAGCCUAGUUAUUCACACCAUCAGUAAAAUUCUCAUAAAUUUUGUAGAUGUACAGUGCAAAUUCCAAGAAUGUUGCAAGACCUCAUAAUUAUGAAAAAUGGACACAUUCCAAGAUCCUAAAUAAGAGGUAAAUGAUUUUUCUUCUAAUUAUUUCUAACCUCCUUGUAUUUCUUGAACAAUUUUCUUUGUAAUAUAUUAAUUUGUUUCAUGUUCUCAAUAGUGAGUUUUUUAAUUUUCUAGAUGUGUGUUGCAAUUUUAAAGAAUGUCUCCAGUUGUUGGCUGAAGUGGUCUUGAUCACAAAAAUGGACACCGUCAUUGGAAAGUAUAUAAAAGGUCUUAAUAUUUUCCUGUCUUAUCUUACAUGAAAUGUUUUGAACAUUAUAUGAUUACCUGUGAUCAAUAGUUUCAAAAAUUCCAGAAUAUUGCAAAAAUAGCAUGAUCAUAAUACUUAUGACACAAAAUACAACAAAAAUAAUAAACACAAUCUUUAUACCUAAAAAUGGCAAGUGGACAAUAGUUGCACUCUUUUUAUUCUAUUAUUACAGCACUAUUUCGACUUGUAUUAAUUUGGAAAAUUUUGGUUUUGUGGUUCCUCAAUUACGGUACUUGAUUAAGUUUUGUGUUGCCACUGAUCACAGAAAGUCUAUAAUUUUCAAAGCAUAUAAGCAUUUCAUGAGCAAGCCAGAAAUUGACAAACUGUCAAAAAUUUUGUUUAACAGUGAUGAUUUGGUUUGGAUAUGCAUUUUUUUUCUGUUUGGCACAAUAGCUAAAUCUUAAAG
RNAcentral lists this long non-coding RNA (2088 nucleotides) under Paramuricea clavata. The record is from RNAcentral. Lineage: Eukaryota; Metazoa; Cnidaria; Anthozoa; Malacalcyonacea; Plexauridae.